This 122-nucleotide microRNA precursor is filed under the name Arabidopsis thaliana (thale cress). Its description in RNAcentral is "microRNA MIR405". It matches the Rfam family "MIR405 microRNA precursor family". The record is from RNAcentral. Lineage: Eukaryota; Viridiplantae; Streptophyta; Magnoliopsida; Brassicales; Brassicaceae. RNAcentral also lists the same sequence under 1 other name.
UUAACCCAUUUAACAACUCAACCCUUUAAAUUAAAUGAGUUAUGGGUUGAUCCAACCCAUUUAACAAAAUAAGUUGGGUCAACCCAUAACCCAUUUAACCCUAAACUCAUUUGAUUAUGAGU